GAUGAACGCUAGCUACAGGCUUAACACAUGCAAGUCGAGGGGAAACGAUAUUGGAAGCUUGCUUCCGAUAGGCGUCGACCGGCGCACGGGUGAGUAACGCGUAUCCAACCUGCCCAUCACUUGGGGAUAACCUUGCGAAAAUAAGACUAAUACCCAAUGACGUCUCUAGAAGACAUCUGAAAGAGAUUAAAGAUUUAUCGGUGAUGGAUGGGGAUGCGUCUGAUUAGCUUGUUGGCGGGGUAACGGCCCACCAAGGCGACGAUCAGUAGGGGUUCUGAGAGGAAGGUCCCCCCACAUUGGAACUGAGACACGGUCCAAAACUCCUACGGGAGGCAGCAGUGAGGAAUAUUGGUCAAUGGACGAGAGUCUGAACCAGCCAAGUAGCGUGCAGGAAGACGGCCCUAUGGGUUGUAAACUGCUUUUAUAAGGGAAUAAAGUGAGUCUCGUGAGACUUUUUGCAUGUACCUUAUGAAUAAGGACCGGCUAAUUCCGUGCCAGCAGCCG
Molecule: ribosomal RNA, 504 nt
Filed under: uncultured bacterium
Lineage: Bacteria
Description: bacterial SSU rRNA
Rfam family: Bacterial small subunit ribosomal RNA
Source: RNAcentral